CAGAGGAACCUGUUCCAUAAUCGAUAAUCCACGAUGGACCUUACUUAAAUUUGUUUAGUUUAUAUACCGUCGUUAUGAAAAACUUUUUUAGAAUAAUAGUUUUUAAUAAUUAUAAUUAUAAUUAAUAUCAGAUCAAGGUGUAGCUUAUGUUUAAGAGGAAAUGGGUUACAAUAAAUUUAUUUAUAUGGAUUUUUUAAUGAAAUUAAAAAUGAAGGUGGAUUUGAAAGUAAAAAUUUAUAGAUUAAAGUUUUGAAAUUAGCUCUAAGGUAUGUAC
Molecule: ribosomal RNA, 274 nt
Filed under: Physocephala maculipes
Lineage: Eukaryota; Metazoa; Arthropoda; Insecta; Diptera; Conopidae
Description: partial 12S ribosomal RNA
Source: RNAcentral